UACGUAGGGUGCGAGCGUUAAUCGGAAUUACUGGGCGUAAAGCGUGCGUAGACGGUUACAUAAGUCGGGUGUGAAAGCCCCGGGCUCAACCUGGGAAUUGCAUUCGAGACUGCGUAGCUAGGGUGCGGAAGAGGGAAGCGGAAAUUUCCGGUGUAGCGGUGAAAUGCGUAGAUAUCGGAAGGAACACCAGUGGCGAAAGCGGCUUCCUGGUCCAGCACCGACGUUCAGGCACGAAAGCGUGGGGAGCAAACAGG
RNAcentral lists this ribosomal RNA (254 nucleotides) under uncultured bacterium. RNAcentral's name for it is "partial 16S ribosomal RNA". It matches the Rfam family "Bacterial small subunit ribosomal RNA", at positions 524 to 776 of the family's 1533-position model. The record is from RNAcentral.